RNAcentral lists this long non-coding RNA (548 nucleotides) under Phoenix dactylifera (date palm). Its description in RNAcentral is "long non-coding RNA (PDAC_LNC021685)". The record is from RNAcentral. Lineage: Eukaryota; Viridiplantae; Streptophyta; Magnoliopsida; Arecales; Arecaceae.
AACUGUAAUAGAGGCAGGACAUCUAUGCCACAACUAAUUUUGACAGGAAUAAGUCAUUUUUAUGUUAAAAGUACAUCUUGACAGGAAUACGUCAUUUCUAUGUUAAGGGUCCAUCUUGUCUCCACUCAUUAUUGCAAGCCAGAAAGUCGUUACAGUUCUUAGGAGUGUUGAUGAAAGGUUGAUUAGGAAUCUUAAAAUUGUAGCCUUUUAAAUUUUAGAGUUACACUCUAGGUUGUCCUAUUUCAGGAAAAAGUUUUUGUUCUUGUUGGUUUAUUUCUUUUGGAAAAUGAUUGUUAGUUCUGUUUGCAAAUAAGUUGAUAAGAUGUGCCCAUUCUGUAGGUUUUUCUGCCAUUUUAGAUUUGUGUUUAUUUUCUUCCUUUGUUUCAUUUUAAGCUUGUAAUUACUACAUAUACACAUGUACACAAAGGAAGGCGGAGUUGAUUAGAAUUUCUCUUAAAGGAGCACUUAAAUUAAGGAAAUAUGCCGCCUAGCCAGUUAAAGUUUUUCCUUUAUCGCAUGAUGUGUAAAUGGCUUGUAUGGGGAUUAGG